This 497-nucleotide ribosomal RNA is filed under the name uncultured bacterium. RNAcentral's name for it is "partial 16S ribosomal RNA". It matches the Rfam family "Bacterial small subunit ribosomal RNA", at positions 28 to 507 of the family's 1533-position model. The record is from RNAcentral.
GAUGAACGCUGGCGGCGUGCCUAAUACAUGCAAGUCGAGCGAACGGACGAGAAGCUUGCUUCUCUGAUGUUAGCGGCGGACGGGUGAGUAACACGUGGAUAACCUACCUAUAAGACUGGGAUAACUUCGGGAAACCGGUGCUAAUACCGGAUAAUAUUUUGAACCGCAUGGUUCAAAAGUGAAAGACGGUCUUGCUGUCACUUAUAGAUGGAUCCGCGCUGCAUUAGCUAGUUGGUAAGGUAACGGCUUACCAAGGCAACGAUGCAUAGCCGACCUGAGAGGGUGAUCGGCCACACUGGAACUGAGACACGGUCCAGACUCCUACGGGAGGCAGCAGUAGGGAAUCUUCCGCAAAGGGCGAAAGCCUGACGGAGCAACGCCGCGUGAGUGAUGAAGGUCUUCGGAUCGUAAAACUCUGUUAUUAGGGAAGAACAUAUGUGUAAGUAACUGUGCACAUCUUGACGGUACCUAAUCAGAAAGCCACGGCUAACUACGUG